Molecule: ribosomal RNA, 1310 nt
Filed under: Acinetobacter sp. P-126
Lineage: Bacteria; Pseudomonadati; Pseudomonadota; Gammaproteobacteria; Moraxellales; Moraxellaceae
Description: bacterial SSU rRNA
Rfam family: Bacterial small subunit ribosomal RNA
Source: RNAcentral
AUUGAACGCUGGCGGCAGGCUUAACACAUGCAAGUCGAGCGGGGAAAGGUAGCUUGCUACUUGACCUAGCGGCGGACGGGUGAGUAAUGCUUAGGAAUCUGCCUAUUAGUGGGGGACAACAUCUCGAAAGGGAUGCUAAUACCGCAUACGUCCUACGGGAGAAAGCAGGGGACCUUCGGGCCUUGCGCUAAUAGAUGAGCCUAAGUCGGAUUAGCUAGUUGGUGGGGUAAAGGCCUACCAAGGCGACGAUCUGUAGCGGGUCUGAGAGGAUGAUCCGCCACACUGGGACUGAGACACGGCCCAGACUCCUACGGGAGGCAGCAGUGGGGAAUAUUGGACAAUGGGGGGAACCCUGAUCCAGCCAUGCCGCGUGUGUGAAGAAGGCCUUUUGGUUGUAAAGCACUUUAAGCGAGGAGGAGGCUCCCGAGAUUAAUACCUUUGGAUAGUGGACCGUUACUCGCAGAAUAAGCACCGGCUAACUCUGUGCCAGCAGCCGCGGUAAUACCAGAGGGUGCAAGCGUUAAUCGGAUUUACUGGGCGUAAAGCGCGCGUAGGUGGCCAAUUAAGUCAAAUGUGAAAUCCCCGAGCUUAACUUGGGAAUUGCAUUCGAUACUGGUUGGCUAGAGUAUGGGAGAGGAUGGUAGAAUUCCAGGUGUAGCGGUGAAAUGCGUAGAGAUCUGGAGGAAUACCGAUGGCGAAGGCAGCCAUCUGGCCUAAUACUGACACUGAGGUGCGAAAGCAUGGGGAGCAAACAGGAUUAGAUACCCUGGUAGUCCAUGCCGUAAACGAUGUCUACUAGCCGUUGGGGCCUUUGAGGCUUUAGUGGCGCAGCUAACGCGAUAAGUAGACCGCCUGGGGAGUACGGUCGCAAGACUAAAACUCAAAUGAAUUGACGGGGGCCCGCACAAGCGGUGGAGCAUGUGGUUUAAUUCGAUGCAACGCGAAGAACCUUACCUGGUCUUGACAUAGUAAGAACUUUCCAGAGAUGGAUUGGUGCCUUCGGGAACUUACAUACAGGUGCUGCAUGGCUGUCGUCAGCUCGUGUCGUGAGAUGUGGGUUAAGUCCCGCAACGAGCGCAACCCUUUUCCUUAUUUGCCAGCGGGUUAAGCCGGGAACUUUAAGGAUACUGCCAGUGACAAACUGGAGGAAGGCGGGGACGACGUCAAGUCAUCAUGGCCCUUACGACCAGGGCUACACACGUGCUACAAUGGUCGGUACAAAGGGUUGCUACCCCGCGAGAGGAUGCUAAUCUCAAAAAGCCGAUCGUAGUCCGGAUUGGAGUCUGCAACUCGACUCCAUGAAGUCGGAA